RNAcentral lists this ribosomal RNA (397 nucleotides) under uncultured bacterium. RNAcentral's name for it is "partial 16S ribosomal RNA". It matches the Rfam family "Bacterial small subunit ribosomal RNA", at positions 523 to 918 of the family's 1533-position model. The record is from RNAcentral.
AUACGUAGGGUGCGAGCGUUGUCCGGAAUGAUUGGGCGUAAAGGGCGCGUAGGCGGCGCGGUAAGUCUGGAGUGAAAGUCCUGCUUUCAAGGUGGGAAUUGCUUUGGAUACUGCCGCGCUUGAGUGCAGGAGAGGUUAUCGGAAUUCCCGGUGUAGCGGUGAAAUGCGUAGAGAUCGGGAGGAACACCAGUGGCGAAGGCGGGUAACUGGACUGCAACUGACGCUGAGGCGCGAAAGUGUGGGGAGCAAACAGGAUUAGAUACCCUGGUAGUCCACACUGUAAACGAUGAAUGCUAGGUGUAAGAGGUAUCGACCCCUUUUGUGCCGGAGUCAACACAAUAAGCAUUCCGCCUGGGGAGUACGGCCGCAAGGUUGAAACUCAAAUGAAUUGACGGGG